GCGGGAAAGGCAAAGUUAAAAUGGAGUUGGAAGGGGUGGAUUAGCUUUAUAUACUUUUUCUAUUCAACUUGUUCAGAGGAAUUAUUACACACUUCUAAAGAACAUUUAUUAUAUUCAACUCGUUAAGACAAUGACACAAAACAUGCACACCAGGCCUUUGGAAAGAGAGGCAUGAGGAUUGUCGGCAGAGGACAACAAAUCAAAACACAAUUCACCAAGAAUAUGCUUAUCUUUGCCUAUAAGGGUCUUAGGAUGAAGUUCGAGGUGGGAAGUCAAAAUUCAACACAUCCA
Chiloscyllium plagiosum (whitespotted bambooshark) is the source of this 291-nucleotide non-coding RNA. NCBI's taxonomy places the organism in Eukaryota, Metazoa, Chordata, Chondrichthyes, Orectolobiformes, Hemiscylliidae. The record is from RefSeq and is a predicted model, not a curated record.